Peromyscus eremicus (cactus mouse) is the source of this 380-nucleotide long non-coding RNA. RefSeq lists it as uncharacterized. The transcript has 3 exons. Lineage: Eukaryota; Metazoa; Chordata; Mammalia; Rodentia; Cricetidae. The record is from RefSeq and is a predicted model, not a curated record.
CCCCUUCUGGCCAAUCAGCAGAGAGGAAAGUCAGGACCAAGUCUGGUUGCUUAGAGACCUCCGGAAAAGCCCACCUGUACUAAGAAAAGCUGUUUCCUUCCAGGCUCCACGCAAGAAUAACAAAGAAAGGAAGCAGAUCUCACAAAUGCUCAGAGUAAGAUGAAUGGCAGCAGCAGCUGAGCAAUGGCUCCCAGAUCACCUCCAUGCACUACAAGACCAGGCUGUGCCAAGCAUUCAAGAAGAGCAGCACGUGCAAGUGGAAGACAUUCACAUACAGAGAGGCUAAACUGCCAACCACAUAACAGAGCAUUUCAGGAGUGUCCCUGCUGUCUCCUCCUUGGACUUCUGGCUUUUGCACUCUGUUCCUCAGACCUGCACUC